This 468-nucleotide ribosomal RNA is filed under the name uncultured bacterium. RNAcentral describes it as "partial 16S ribosomal RNA". It matches the Rfam family "Bacterial small subunit ribosomal RNA", at positions 28 to 507 of the family's 1533-position model. The record is from RNAcentral.
GACGAACGCUGGCGGCGUGCUUAACACAUGCAAGUCGAACGGCAAGGCCCUGCUUUUGUGGGGUGCUCGAGUGGCGAACGGGUGAGUAACACGUGAGUAACCUGCCCUUGACUUUGGGAUAACUUCAGGAAACUGGGGCUAAUACCGGAUAGGAGCCCCUGCUGCAUGGUGGGGGUUGGAAAGUUUCGGCGGUUUGGGAUGGACUCGCGGCUUAUCAGCUUGUUGGUGGGGUAGUGGCUUACCAAGGCUUUGACGGGUAGCCGGCCUGGGAGGGUGACCGGCCACAUUGGGACUGCGAUACGGCCCAGACUCCUACGGGGGGCAGCAGUGGGGAAUAUUGCACAAUGGGCGGAAGCCUGAUGCAGCAACGCCGCGUGCGGGAUGACGGCCUUCGGGUUGUAAACCGCUUUCGCCUGUGACGAAGCGUGAGUGACGGUAAUGGGUAAAGAAGCACCGGCUAACUACGUG